AGUAACACGUGGAUAACCUACCUAUAAGACUGGGAUAACUUCGGGAAACCGGAGCUAAUACCGGAUAAUAUUUUGAACCGCAUGGUUCAAAAGUGGAAGACGGUCUUGCUGUCACUUAUAGAUGGAUCCGCGCUGCAUUAGCUAGUUGGUAAGGUAACGGCUUACCAAGGCAACGAUGCAUAGCCGACCUGAGAGGGUGAUCGGCCACACUGGAACUGAGACACGGUCCAG
This 231-nucleotide ribosomal RNA is filed under the name uncultured Staphylococcus sp. RNAcentral's name for it is "partial 16S ribosomal RNA". It matches the Rfam family "Bacterial small subunit ribosomal RNA", at positions 109 to 334 of the family's 1533-position model. The record is from RNAcentral. Lineage: Bacteria; Bacillati; Bacillota; Bacilli; Caryophanales; Staphylococcaceae.